RNAcentral lists this long non-coding RNA (1425 nucleotides) under Numida meleagris (helmeted guineafowl). Its description in RNAcentral is "lncRNA (ENSNMEG00000002239.1)". The record is from RNAcentral. Lineage: Eukaryota; Metazoa; Chordata; Aves; Galliformes; Numididae.
UUGGGGGUCAGAAGUCCCUGCCCCACGGAAUUCCCUGCCCCACGGAUGUUCCUGCCCCACAGAAGUCCCUGCCCCAUAGAAAGCUCUGCCAGGCCUUCGUGGGGGGGGUAGGGGGUCAGAAGUCCCUGGCCCCCGGGAUUCCCUGCCCCAUGGAAUUCCCUGCCCCACGGAAGUCCCUGCCCCAUAGAAAGCUCUGUUGGGCCCUUGGGUGCAGGUUGGGGGUCAGAAGUCCCUGCCCCAUAGCAGUCCCUGCCCCAUAGAAAGCUCUGCCGGGCCCUUGGGAGUGGGUUGGGGGUCAGAAGUCCCUGCCCCACGGAAGUCCCUGCCCCACGGAAGUCCCUGCCCCAUAGAAAGCUCUGCCCCAUAGAAAGCUCUGCCAGGCCCUCAUGGGUGGGGGGGGGGUCAGAAGUCCCUGCCCCACGGCGUUCCCUGCCCCACAGCUGCAGCGCGUGUUGGGCUGGGAGCUGCAGCGCGUGGAGUUUCUGCGGGGCCGCCUGGAGGCGGCGGGCGCCGACGUCCGCGACGCAGCUGCAGGAGCUGAGCCCCGAGGGGGCGGCCCCGCUGCAAGGGAGCUGCGCCGCUGCCCAGGAGGAAUACGGACGCAUCCGGGACCGGCUACGCCGGGCGGCCGCCGUGCUGGAGGACGCGUUGCCGCGCUGCGCCCAGGUGAGGGCUUCCUGCCCCAUAGCGGGGUCCCCGUUGUCGCCGUUGGGUCACCUAUGGGGGUCUGCUGCCCCAUAGCGGGGUCCCUGUGCCACCACUGGGGUCUGCUGCCCCAUAGCGGGGUCCCUGUGUCGCUGUUGGGUCACCUAUGGGGGUCUGCUGCCCCAUAGCGGGGUCCCUAUGCCACCACUGGGGUCUGCUGCCCCAUAGCGGGGUCCCUAUGCCACCGUUGGGUACCCUCUGGGGUCUGCUGCCCCAUAGCGGGGUCCCUGUGCCAGCGUUGGGUCAUCUAUGGGGGUCUGCUGCCCCAUAGCAGCGUCCAUGUGCUAUCAUUGCAUCCCUAUGGGGGUCUGCUGCCCCAUAGUGGGGUCUCUGUGCCAGCAUUCGGUCCCUUUGGGGGUCUGCUGCCCCAUAGCGGGGUCCCCGUGCCACCAUUGGGUCCCUCUGGGGGUCUCCUGCCCCAUAGCGGUCUCCCCGUGCCACCGUUGGGUCCCUCUGGGGGUCUGCUGCCCCAUAGCGGGGUCCCCGUGUCACCGUUGGGUCCCUAUGGGGGUCUGCUGCCCCAUAGCGGGGUCCUUGUGUUGUCACUGGGUCCCUAUGGGGGUCUGCUGCCCCAUAGCGGGGUCCCUGUGCCAGCAUUGGGUGACUUUGGGGGUCUGCUGCCCCAUAGCGGGGUCCCUGUGUCAGCGUUGGGAACCUUUGGGGGUCUGCUGCCCCAUAGCGGGGUCCCUAUGCCACGAUUGGGGGUCUGCUGCCCCAUAG